Non-coding RNA from Triticum aestivum (bread wheat), 125 nucleotides. Lineage: Eukaryota; Viridiplantae; Streptophyta; Magnoliopsida; Poales; Poaceae. The record is from Rfam.
AAAGUACUCCCUCCGUCCGGAAUUACUUGUCGUAGAAAUGGAUAAAAAUGGAUGUAUCUAGAAUUAAAAUAUGUCUAGAUACAUCAAUUCCUCCGAUAAGUAUUUCCGGACGGAGGGAGUACGUA